RNAcentral lists this long non-coding RNA (1607 nucleotides) under Heterocephalus glaber (naked mole-rat). RNAcentral describes it as "lncRNA (ENSHGLG00100049758.1)". Lineage: Eukaryota; Metazoa; Chordata; Mammalia; Rodentia; Bathyergidae. The record is from RNAcentral.
GUUUACAGCUGUGUGGUGCCACACCCAGCAACUUUAUGUAAUUUCUUUUAACUAUUAAUAGAUACUUAUUGUCAGUAAUGCUUUGCAACCGUGUUGUACAAUUUUACCAUUUGUUUAAUUGUUUUAUCUUUUUCUCUUUUUUUUGGUACUGGGGAUCGAACUCGAACUCGGGACCUUGCGCUUUUGAGGAAGGUGCCAGAACCACUGAGCUAAAUCCCUGGCCCCUAAUUGUUUUAUCUUUUUGGUAGGUAGAUUACAAUGAAUCAUUUUUUGGUUACUGAUCAGGUCACUUUUUUCAUUUUUUUUUUUUUCCACUUACAGAUUGUUUUAUCCUCAGCUUCUGGGUUGUUUUUUUUUUGUUUUUUGGGGGGUUUUUUGCUUUUUUUUCUAUGGAGAUACUAGUUUUUUCGUAUUAAUUCUUAAGGCUCUUUAUGGACAGUGGACCCUCAAGUUAUGACCGGCAUGACACAACUUAGGUUAUGGUCAGAAUAUUUGAAAAUAUUAAGUCUUCAGCAUAUUUUGUCCAUCUACCCCUUUUUUUCCUUGAUGCUGGGGAUUGACUCAAGGGCUUUGUACAUGCUAGGCACCAUGCUCUACCAUCACCCCUACUUCUGCAGAUCAUAGUGCAUCCUUCUCCACCUUAUUCACUGCAUCUAGCACCGUGUGACUUCUGCCUCUUCCCCAAAAUCAAAGUGACUAUGAAAGGUAAACAUUUUGAAUCCAUUCAGGACAUUGAUGCAAAAGUUUAGUAUCCAACAGGGUAACUAAAGACAUUCAGGAAAGAGGACUUACAGAACUGCUUCAGAAAGUGGCAAGAAACAUGGGAUCAGUGUGUUUGAAAUGAGGGAAUGUUCUUUGAGGGGGAUUAAUGGCACUGUAUCUUAGACUGUAAUAAAUAUUAAACAUUCUCUAUUUUUCAAUCACACAUCAAAUUAAUUCUAAGUGUAACAGUCUUCACAGUUAAAGUGAUAAUAGAUGAAGAAUUUUAAUUUUUGUUAGAAAAAAUAACCAGUUUUAGUUAGUGUACCUCAGUUCAUGAACUUCAAUCAUUCCACAAGUCUGAAAAAGAUGGCCACAUUCAUGUUCGUGCAGGAAAGAUGGCGGUAAUUGUGUUUGUCACUCAGUGCAGAGUUUGAAAACAAAAACAAAAUCUUGCCAAACACUUCUGUUUACAAACCAAAUUGCUUGCAAAUGAAAGCCUUUAUGAACCGAGGUACCACUGUACAAGACAUUGCUUAACCGUUUGUCAUCUCUUACCCAUUUGUUGUUCAUCCUUUAGGUUAGAGGUGAAGCGUCUGCACACUGCUAAGUUUUAUAAUCAGAUCACACAUCUCUUUUCUCACUUUGUACAUGAGGGAGUUCAGGGCCUAUGAGGCAAUUAGUUUUUUUAGAAUGUGGAAUUACAGUCCUUCAUUGCUUUAAAACUAGUUAAUAGGUGUAUCUAUUGCAAAAAUAAAUGUAUGUUGAGGAAAGUAUAAUUUAAAAAUUAUAAAGAAUUUUAUUCUUACUACAGACUUAGCUUAUAUGUCUAUAAAGCUUACUUUGUCAGUUUGUUGUGCCCAUUUUGAUUCCAGCUGCAUAGUACAGUGGACCCUCAAGUUACGACC